Molecule: ribosomal RNA, 511 nt
Filed under: uncultured bacterium
Lineage: Bacteria
Description: bacterial SSU rRNA
Rfam family: Bacterial small subunit ribosomal RNA
Source: RNAcentral
UGAUGCAGCCAUGCCGCGUGUGUGAAGAAGGCCCUCGGGUUGUAAAGCACUUUCAGUGAGGAAGAACGCCUGAUGGUUAAUACCCGUCAGGAAAGACAUCACUCACAGAAGAAGCACCGGCUAACUCCGUGCCAGCAGCCGCGGUAAUACGGAGGGUGCAAGCGUUAAUCGGAAUUACUGGGCGUAAAGCGCGCGUAGGUGGCUUGAUAAGCCGGUUGUGAAAGCCCCGGGCUCAACCUGGGAACGGCAUCCGGAACUGUCAGGCUAGAGUGCAGGAGAGGAAGGUAGAAUUCCCGGUGUAGCGGUGAAAUGCGUAGAGAUCGGGAGGAAUACCAGUGGCGAAGGCGGCCUUCUGGACUGACACUGACACUGAGGUGCGAAAGCGUGGGUAGCAAACAGGAUUAGAUACCCUGGUAGUCCACGCCGUAAACGAUGUCGACCAGCCGUUGGGUGCCUAGCGCACUUUGUGGCGAAGUUAACGCGAUAAGUCGACCGCCUGGGGAGUACGGCC